CCUACGGGGGGCAGCAGUGGGGAAUAUUGCGCAAUGGGCGAAAGCCUGACGCAGCGACGCCGCGUGAGGGAUGAAGGUCUUCGGAUCGUAAACCUCUGUCAGCAGGGAAGAAUGGUCACUGUGCUAAUCAGCAGUGAAUUGACGGUACCUGCAAAGGAAGCACCGGCUAACUCCGUGCCAGCAGCCGCGGUAAUACGGAGGGUGCGAGCGUUAAUCGGAAUUACUGGGCGUAAAGCGCUCGUAGGCGGUAUGUCAAGUCAAGGGUGAAAUCCCCGCGCUCAACGUGGGAACUGCCGUUGAAACUGGCAAACUUGAGGGUGGGAGAGGAUAGUGGAAUUCGAGGUGUAGGAGUGAAAUCCGUAGAUAUCUGGAGGAACAUCAGUGGCGAAGGCGACUAUCUGGCACAUAACUGACGCUGAGGAGCGAAAGCGUGGGUAGCAAACAGGAUUAGAUACCCGGGUAGUC
Molecule: ribosomal RNA, 465 nt
Filed under: uncultured bacterium
Lineage: Bacteria
Description: partial 16S ribosomal RNA
Rfam family: Bacterial small subunit ribosomal RNA
Source: RNAcentral